UACGAGGGGGGCAAGUGUUGUUCGGAAUUACUGGGCGUAAAGGGAGCGUAGGCGGGCUCUUAAGUUGGAUGUUUAAAUCCGGGGCCUAACCCCGGCGUGGCAUCCAAAACUGGGAGUCUUGAAUGGGACAGAGGCCAGUGGAAUUAGAGGUGUAGCGGUGGAAUGCGUAGAUAUCUCUAAGAACACCAGUUGCGAAGGCGGCUGGCUGGGUCCACAUUGACGCUGAGGCUCGAAAGCGUGGGGAGCAAACAGG
This 253-nucleotide ribosomal RNA is filed under the name uncultured bacterium. Its description in RNAcentral is "partial 16S ribosomal RNA". It matches the Rfam family "Bacterial small subunit ribosomal RNA", at positions 524 to 776 of the family's 1533-position model. The record is from RNAcentral.